This 301-nucleotide ribosomal RNA is filed under the name uncultured bacterium. Its description in RNAcentral is "partial 16S ribosomal RNA". It matches the Rfam family "Bacterial small subunit ribosomal RNA", at positions 509 to 809 of the family's 1533-position model. The record is from RNAcentral.
CAGUCGCCGCGGGAAUACGAAGGGUGCAAGCGUUACUCGGAAUUACUGGGCGUAAAGCGUGCGUAGGCGGUUCGUUAAGUUUGUUGUGAAAGCCCCGGGCUCAACCUGGGAAUGGCAAUGGAUACUGGCGAGCUAGAGUGUGUCAGAGGAUGGUGGAAUUCCCGGUGUAGCGGUGAAAUGCGUAGAGAUCGGGAGGAACAUCAGUGGCGAAGGCGGCCAUCUGGGACAACACUGACGCUGAGGCACGAAAGCGUGGGGAGCAAACAGGAUUAGAUACCCCAGUAGUCCCUGUCUCUUAUAA